Molecule: ribosomal RNA, 254 nt
Filed under: uncultured bacterium
Lineage: Bacteria
Description: partial 16S ribosomal RNA
Rfam family: Bacterial small subunit ribosomal RNA
Source: RNAcentral
UACGAAGGGGGCUAGCGUUGCUCGGAAUCACUGGGCGUAAAGGGUGCGUAGGCGGGUUUUUAAGUCAGGGGUGAAAUCCUGGAGCUCAACUCCAGAACUGCCUUUGAUACUGAAGAUCUUGAGUCCGGGAGAGGUGAGUGGAACUGCGAGUGUAGAGGUGAAAUUCGUAGAUAUUCGCAAGAACACCAGUGGCGAAGGCGGCUCACCUGGCCCGGUACUGACGCUGAGGUGCGAAAGCGUGGGGAGCAAACAGG